This 407-nucleotide ribosomal RNA is filed under the name uncultured beta proteobacterium. RNAcentral describes it as "partial 16S ribosomal RNA". It matches the Rfam family "Bacterial small subunit ribosomal RNA", at positions 433 to 850 of the family's 1533-position model. The record is from RNAcentral. Lineage: Bacteria; Pseudomonadati; Pseudomonadota; Betaproteobacteria.
CUGCUUUUHGUCCGAVGGAAACAVYBUUUUUUAAKACGGGGGGCUAAUGACGGUACCCGURAAGAAAAAAGCACCGGGHUAAUACGUAGGGUGCAAGCGUUAAUCGGAAUUACUGGGCGUAAAGCGBGCGCAGGCGGUUUUAUAAGACAGAUGUGAAAUCCCCGGGCUCAACCUGGGAACUGCAUUUGUGACUGNAUAGCUAGAGUACGGUAGAGGGGGAUGGAAUUCCGCGUGUAGCVGUGAAAUGCGUAGAUAUGCGGAGGAACACCGAUGGCGAAGGCAAUCCCCUGGACCUGUACUGACGCUSAUGCACGAAAGCGUGGGGAGCAAACAGGNUUAGAUACCCUGGUAGUCCACGCCCUAAACGAUGUCAACUGGUUGUUGGGNCUUCACUGACUCAGURCGAA